RNAcentral lists this long non-coding RNA (523 nucleotides) under Felis catus (domestic cat). Its description in RNAcentral is "lncRNA (ENSFCAG00000040946.2)". The record is from RNAcentral. Lineage: Eukaryota; Metazoa; Chordata; Mammalia; Carnivora; Felidae.
AUGUCCACUAGGACCCCAAACUCUACUUUCCGCUCACUGCCACAGGACCAUGUGUUUCUGGUAUCGAAAAGGGCGUGCCGACUGCCAGCCCGAGCGUGGCGUCCCCUGCCUCCGCCUGCUUUCUUCAGCCUUGGUGUUUUGGCUCUCAACGGACAUCUCUACGACAGACACUUGCUUCUCCCCUUGGGACUGCGUAACAGUAUCCAGCAGGUGGACUUACAUAAAAUAAUUGCAGUAUUGAAUCAGUACCCUGAUAAACAAAUCAACAAGCCUUAAACGGAGAGCAAAUGCUCUUUGCCAGCUCUGAGAAACUUAUGGUAAUAAGGAGGAGCCCUUAAGAGAUUAAGGAGGCUCAGGACACGCAGAGGUGGAGGAGAGAGUAAUAUAGAAGAGAUAUGGUGAGAUAUAGAUAUAUAUAUAUAUAUAUAUAUAUAUAUAUAUAUAUAUAUAUGUAUAUAUAUAUAUACAUAAAUAUAUCAUAUAUAUAUAUAUAUAUAUAUAUUAUAUAUAUAUAUAUAUAUUA